This 253-nucleotide ribosomal RNA is filed under the name uncultured bacterium. RNAcentral's name for it is "partial 16S ribosomal RNA". It matches the Rfam family "Bacterial small subunit ribosomal RNA", at positions 524 to 776 of the family's 1533-position model. The record is from RNAcentral.
UACGGAGGGUGCAAGCGUUGUUCGGAAUUACUGGGCGUAAAGGGCGCGUAGGCGGCCGGUCAAGUCAGAUGUGAAAGUCCUGGGCUCAACCUGGGGACUGCAUUUGAUACUGACUGGCUUGAAUCCGAGAGAGGAUAGCGGAAUUCCCAGUGUAGAGGUGAAAUUCGUAGAUAUUGGGAAGAACACCAGUGGCGAAGGCGGCUAUCUGGACCGGCAUUGACGCUGAGGCGCGAAAGCGGGGGGAGCAAACAGG